AGAUUACGGGGGGUUAAUCCGAAAUACUGUACAGAUAAGACUAAUUACAAGAGAGAUUAAUGAGACUUUUUUAAACAACAAUCACAACAAUCACAACUAACACAACAAAUCUACUUAGAAAAAACUUUUUUUCCUGAAUA
RNAcentral lists this small RNA (140 nucleotides) under Acanthamoeba polyphaga mimivirus. RNAcentral's name for it is "uncharacterized ncRNA". Lineage: Varidnaviria; Bamfordvirae; Nucleocytoviricota; Megaviricetes; Imitervirales; Mimiviridae. The record is from RNAcentral.